GAACGCAUAUUGCGCUCUUUGGUAUUCCGAAGAGCAUGCUUGUUUGAGUAUCAGUAAACACCUCAAAGACUUCAAUUUGUUUUGAAUGGCUUUGGACUUGAGCAAUCCCAACACCAGUCUUUACGAUCGGUGGAGGGUUGCUUGAAAUGCAGGUGCAGCUGGACAUUCUCCUGAGCUAAAAGCAUAUUUAUUUAGUCCCGUCAAACGGAUUAUUACUUUUGCUGCAGCUAACAUAAAGGGAGUUUUGACCAUUAUGGCUGACUGAUGCAGGAUUUCACAGAGAAAAGGCCGGCAACGGUUUUGUCUCUGUCAAACUCGAUCUCAAAUCAAGUAAGACUACCCGCUGAACUUAAG
This 354-nucleotide unclassified non-coding RNA is filed under the name uncultured fungus. RNAcentral's name for it is "sequence contains 5.8S rRNA gene". The stretch from base 1 to 53 matches the Rfam family "5.8S ribosomal RNA", at positions 102 to 154 of the family's 154-position model. Lineage: Eukaryota; Fungi. The record is from RNAcentral.